AAUUGAUUAGUUUUAUAGAAACCUUUAUUUUGAAAAUAAAAAAUGUUAAUUAAUUAUUAACAUCAAUUU
Molecule: transfer RNA, 69 nt
Filed under: Fuelleborniella sp. FuspCA
Lineage: Eukaryota; Metazoa; Arthropoda; Insecta; Psocodea; Caeciliusidae
Description: tRNA-Ser
Source: RNAcentral